This 763-nucleotide ribosomal RNA is filed under the name Streptomyces ribosidificus. Its description in RNAcentral is "bacterial SSU rRNA". It matches the Rfam family "Bacterial small subunit ribosomal RNA", at positions 88 to 863 of the family's 1533-position model. Lineage: Bacteria; Bacillati; Actinomycetota; Actinomycetes; Kitasatosporales; Streptomycetaceae. The record is from RNAcentral.
GAGAUUAGUGGCGAACGGGUGAGUAACACGUGGGCAAUCUGCCCUGCACUCUGGGACAAGCCCUGGAAACGGGGUCUAAUACCGGAUAUGACACUGGAAGGCAUCUUCUGGUGUGGAAAGCUCCGGCGGUGCAGGAUGAGCCCGCGGCCUAUCAGCUUGUUGGUGGGGUGAUGGCCUACCAAGGCGACGACGGGUAGCCGGCCUGAGAGGGCGACCGGCCACACUGGGACUGAGACACGGCCCAGACUCCUACGGGAGGCAGCAGUGGGGAAUAUUGCACAAUGGGCGAAAGCCUGAUGCAGCGACGCCGCGUGAGGGAUGACGGCCUUCGGGUUGUAAACCUCUUUCAGCAGGGAAGAAGCGCAAGUGACGGUACCUGCAGAAGAAGCGCCGGCUAACUACGUGCCAGCAGCCGCGGUAAUACGUAGGGCGCGAGCGUUGUCCGGAAUUAUUGGGCGUAAAGAGCUCGUAGGCGGCUUGUCGCGUCGGAUGUGAAAGCCCGGGGCUUAACCCCGGGUCUGCAUUCGAUACGGGCAGGCUAGAGUUCGGUAGGGGAGAUCGGAAUUCCUGGUGUAGCGGUGAAAUGCGCAGAUAUCAGGAGGAACACCGGUGGCGAAGGCGGAUCUCUGGGCCGAUACUGACGCUGAGGAGCGAAAGCGUGGGGAGCGAACAGGAUUAGAUACCCUGGUAGUCCACGCCGUAAACGUUGGGAACUAGGUGUGGGCGACAUUCCACGUUGUCCGUGCCGCAGCUAACGCAUUAA